This 1959-nucleotide long non-coding RNA is filed under the name Zostera marina. Its description in RNAcentral is "long non-coding RNA (ZMAR_LNC004973)". The record is from RNAcentral. Lineage: Eukaryota; Viridiplantae; Streptophyta; Magnoliopsida; Alismatales; Zosteraceae.
GCCAUAUUUAUCAUCAUAAACGAUAGGGAAGAAUCGAUUUAAUAUCCAUCUAUCAUUGUGAAUCAGCAUAAUAUAAUUUAAAAGUCCAUAAGCCAAAACGUAGAUCAAGAUCAAUCAGAAGCAAUUUAAAAUAACAUAAUUAUGUUCAGGAGUUCCUCUAAAACGUAGAUCAGGAUCAAUCAUGAUCCAUUUAAAAAUAAUAUAAUUAUUUUCAGGAGUUCCUCCAAUACGUAAAUCAGGAUCAAUCAGAAUCAAUUUAAAAAUAAUAUAAAUAAUUUCAGGGUUCGUCCAAAACGUAGAUCAGGAAUCCAAAACAUAGGAUCCCUGUUUAUGUGAAGGCAAUGUUGAGGAUGGACGAGUUCGUCCAGAUCGAACCCAUUCCGAUUGAACUCGUUCCAUCUUCCCUUCACUCACCCUCUUCCCUUCCCUUCCCAUCUCCCAUGAUUAUCUCCUUUUAACAAUUUAACACUCUACAUACCUCCUUUGUUGCCAUUUGAGCUUCACACCUACCACACCACGACACUGGUGCUCCCUUACAGAUCUCAGCCACGAUGCCCUAGCCGUCCUCCCUUUCUCCUAGCUGCCCUCCUUCUUCCUCUUCCUCCUUCCGUAUUCCCUUUCUGUUUUCCAAUCUUCCCUUUCUAUCAUUUUAUUUUUAUAUUCCUAGUGUUUUUACGUUUUUACUCUUAAUCGGGUUACCUACAAUUAAUAACCAGUUACACAAAAUCACCGGUUAUUACAAUCUUCCCCCCUAAUUAGAAUUUUGGUCCCCAAAAUUAAACUUCCGAUCACCAUCAUAUUUAUUAUUAAACAUUUACUCCCAUGCGGCCAUCAUCUUGUCUUCUUACUCCCAUGCGGCCUCCUCACUUGGGUAAUUUUCCCACUGCACCUUGACAUUUCUACAAGUUUUGUUUCGGAUACGAUGUUCCUUCCUACCUAUGAUCCGUGUUCAAUAUGUUUUUGAUACCUUUAAAAACCUUAUGUCGUAUUACAUGACUUGGUUCUGUAAUAUACCAUCGCAACAUUGAUACGUGAAAAACAUUGUGCAUUCGACUCAGUUGUGGUGGUAACGCCACUCUGUACGUUGCAUUUCCAAUACAGUCCAAUAUCUCGAAUGGAUCGAUGUAUCUGGGUUUUAGUUUCCCUCGUAACCCGAAUCGAGAUGUUCCUUUAGUUGUGAUAACUUUUAGAAAUACAUGAUCUUCCACCUCAAAUUUUAAUUCCCUUCUUCUCUUGUUAGCAUAACUUUUCUGUCGACUUUGCGUUGCCAACAACCUCUUCCGUAUCUCGCCAAUAUUCUCCGAUGACUUUUGGAACAUCUCCGGCCCUAACAUUUGGCGACCCCUCACCUCAAACCAACAUAACGGUGAUCGGCAUGGUCGGCUAUAUAACGCCUCAAAAGGGCCAUUUUUAUGCUUGCAUGAUAACUGUUGUUGUACGCAAACUCGAUUAGUGGGAGUUGGUCCUCCCAACUCUCUUGGAACUUCAAUGCACAAGCCCUAAGCAUAUCCUCCAAGGUUUGAAUAGUCCUCUCCGACUGUCUGUGGGUGGAAGGCUGUGCUAAAUUUCAACUGUGUGCCCAUGACUUCCUGCAACUUUCAAUUAGGAUCAAUUUAAAAAUAAUAUAAAUAAUUUCAGGGUUCGUCCAAAACGUAGAUCAGGAUCCAAAACAUAGGAUCCCUGUUUAUGUGAAGGUAAGGUUGAGGAUGGACGAGUUCGUCCAGAUCGAACCCAUUCCGAUUGAACUCGUUCCAUCUUCCCUUCACUCACCCUCUUCCCUUCCCUUUCCAUCUCACAUGAUUAUCUCCUUUUAAUAAUCUAACACUCUACAUACCUCCUUUGUUGCUCCUUACCACACCAUGACACUGGUGCUCCCUUACAGAUCCCAGCCACGAUGCCCUAGCCGUCCUCCUUCUUCCUCUUCCUCCUUCCGUGUUCCUUUUCUUUUUUCCAAUCUUC